AUACGGAGGCUGCGAGCGUUAAUCGGAAUUACUGGGCGUAAAGCGUACGUAGGCGGUUUGCUAAGUCAGAUGUGAAAGCCCCGGGCUUAACCUGGGAACUGCAUUUGAUACUGGCAGACUAGAGUAUGAUAGAGGGGGGUAGAAUUCCUGGUGUAGCGGUGAAAUGCGUAGAUAUCAGGAGGAAUACCAGUGGCGAAGGCGGCCCCCUGGAUCAAUACUGACGCUGAGGUACGAAAGCGUGGGGAGCGAACAGGAUUAGAAACCCUAGUAGUCC
RNAcentral lists this ribosomal RNA (274 nucleotides) under uncultured bacterium. Its description in RNAcentral is "partial 16S ribosomal RNA". It matches the Rfam family "Bacterial small subunit ribosomal RNA", at positions 523 to 796 of the family's 1533-position model. The record is from RNAcentral.